AGUUGCUAGGUGUUUCUAAGGUGUUCUGGGUAGUUGCUAGGUGUUUCUAGGGUGUUCUGAGUGAAUGCUAGGUGUUUCUAGGAUGCUUUGAGUGAAUGCUAGGUGUUUCUAGGGUGUUCUGGGUAGUUGCUAGGUGUUUCUAAGGUGUUCUUGGUAGUUGCUAGGUGUUUCUAGGGUGUUCUGAGUGAAUGCUAGGUGUUUCUAGGAUGCUUUGAGUGAAUGCUAGGUGUUUCUAGGGUGUUCUGGGUAGUUGCUAGGUGUUUCUAAGGUGUUCUUGGUAGUUGCUAGGUGUUUCUAGGGUGUUCUGAGUGAAUGCUAGGUGUUUCUAGGAUGCUUUGAGUGAAUGCUAGGUGUUUCUAGGGUGUUCUGAGUGAAUGCUAGGUGUUUCUAGGAUGCUUUGAGUGAAUGCUAGGUGUUUCUAGGGUGUUCUGAGUGAAUGCUAGGUGUUUCUAGGAUGCUUUGAGUGAAUGCUAGGUGUUUCUAGGGUGUUCUGAGUGAAUGCUAGGUGUUUCUAGGGUGUUCUGGGUAGUUGCUAGGUGGUUUCUAUCAUGUCUGAGUGAAUGCUAGGUGUUUCUAGGAUGCUUUGAGUGAAUGCUAGGUGUUUCUAGGGUGUUCUGAGUGAAUGCUAGGUGUUUCUAGGAUGCUUUGAGUGAAUGCUAGGUGUUUCUAGGGUGUUCUGAGUGAAUGCUAGGUGUUUCUAGGAUGCUUUGAGUGAAUGCUAGGUGUUUCUAGGGUGUUCUGAGUGAAUGCUAGGUGUUUCUAGGAUGCUUUGAGUGAAUGCUAGGUGUUUCUAGGGUGUUCUGAGUGAAUGCUAGGUGUUUCUAGGGUGUUCUGGGUAGUUGCUAGGUGGUUUCUAUCAUGUCUGAGUGAAUGCUAGGUGUUUCUAGGAUGCUUUGAGUGAAUCCUAGGUGUUUCUAGUGUUGUAUAAAUGGUUGUUAGUUGGUGUUUUUAGUGUUUGCUGUUUCUAAGGUGUUCUGAGUAGGUGGUUUCUAGCAUGUUCUGAGUGAAUGCUAGGUGGUUGUUUAGCAGAUCACUCGUUCAGUGUAAAUCCAUGGGAUUUCUUCACUCAUUUAUUGUCUGCCAGGUAAAAAAUUGUAAUUGUAAUGUGUAAUUGAGGUAUCAUUCAUGUCUGUUGGAAAAACAGUUUAGAAUUAUGUUAGAGUUAUGUGCCAAAUUUUAAUAUAUAAGUUUAGGGAUUUUUAAAAACAUCUAAACCAAAGGUUGACCAAUAAUAGUAGUGAUGAUUUUCUUAGCAACAAAAGCUAAAUAAGCUCAUACAGACAUUUUCAGACACAAGCACAGAGUGUACUUUCUCAUGUCUGACUUCUGCAUGAACCACCAGUUGUUAAACAUGUACGUGGCUAAAUGAUUUGCUGAAGUUUGUCACAUGGUAGAGUGGCUGAGUCAGAACUGAAAAACACAUUUAAACCUCCAAAAUCAGCACACAAUUGCAGCAUACGUAGUGACAUCAGACUGUGAGAGCUUUGAAAUGAGAGCGGUUAAGAACAAAAGAUUCUAUGACAGUGAGAGAAAGAGACAGACAGCUGUGAAGUGACAGGAACUACAUCAUCUAGUUUUUCACCUUUACAAAACCUCUGUUCCAAAACCUAGCUGUCUACCACCUAAAUAGGCAGAUGCCUUCUAAGGUAGCAUCCUCACUGAGAUGUAACCUCAUAAGUAACUGAUUUGGAACACACUAUUUAGGCACCACAAAAAUAGUGCUUAUUGCACGAAACGCAUGGAAAACUCGACUCACAGUUGAUUCCAAUAUAGUUUGACGUUAGCAUGUUGCUAAGCUAAUGAUACUUUUAGGAAACGUUUGAGGAGACAGGUGUUAAAAACACAGCUAUUGGUAUUAGCAUAUUACCUCUGUUCUCUAUAGAUAAUCUUACACCUCCAGAAUAAAUGCUAGCAUGGCAUAGCAUAAUUUAUUCUUCACAAUAUGAUUGCUUGGAGAUGUCUCUGUUGACAAUCAAAAAGCUAAUGUUAACGUUGCAGUUUUGGGGGCCUGGGUAGAUUAGUGGUAAAAGACGCUGGCUACCACCCCUGGAGUUCGCGAGUUUGAAUCCAGGGCAUGCUGAGUGACUCCAGCCAGGUCUCCUAAGCAACCAAAUUGGCCCGGUUGCUAGGGAGGGUAGAGUCACAUGGGGUAACCUCCUCGUGGUCGCUAUAAUGUGGUACGUUCUCGGUGGGACGUGUGGUGAGUUGAGCGUGGAUGCCGCGGUGGAUGGCGUGAAGCCUCCACACGCGCUAUGUCUCCGUGGCAACGUGCUCAACAAGCCACGUGAUAAGAUGCGUGGGUUGAUGGUCUCAGAUUCAUCCUCCGCCACCUAGAUUAAGGCGAAUCACUACAUCACCACGAGGACUUAAAAAGCGCACUGGGAAUUGGGCAUUCCAAAUUGGGUGAAAAAGGGG
Molecule: long non-coding RNA, 2415 nt
Organism: Myxocyprinus asiaticus (Chinese sucker)
Lineage: Eukaryota; Metazoa; Chordata; Actinopteri; Cypriniformes; Catostomidae
Exons: 5
Source: RefSeq, a predicted model, not a curated record